GANAGAGCUUACCAUGCAAGUCUACUUGAUCCUUCGGGUGAAGGUGGCGGACGGGUGAGUAACGCGUAAAGAACUUGCCUUACAGACUGGGACAACAUUUGGAAACGAAUGCUAAUACCGGAUAUUAUGACUGAGUCGCAUGAUUUGGUUAUGAAAGCUAUAUGCGCUGUGAGAGAGCUUUGCGUCCCAUUAGUUAGUUGGUGAGGUAACGGCUCACCAAGACGAUGAUGGGUAGCCGGCCUGAGAGGGUGAACGGCCACAAGGGGACUGAGACACGGCCCUUACUCCUACGGGAGGCAGCAGUGGGGAAUAUUGGACAAUGGACCAAAAGUCUGAUCCAGCAAUUCUGUGUGCACGAUGAAGUUUUUCGGAAUGUAAAGUGCUUUCAGUUGGGAAGAAGUCAGUGACGGUACCAACAGAAGAAGCGACGGCUAAAUACGUGCCAGCAGCCGCGGUAAUACGUAUGUCGCAAGCGUUAUCCGGAUUUAUUGGGCGUAAAGCGCGUCUAGGCGGNUUUAGUAAGUCUGAUGUGNAAAAUGCGGGGCUCAACCCCCGUAUUGCGUUGGAAACUGUUAAACUAGAGUACUGGAGAGGUAGGCGGAACUACAAGUGUAGAGGUGAAAUUCGUAGAUAUUUGUAGGAAUGCCGAUGGGGAAGCCAGCCUACUGGACAGAUACUGACGCUAAAGCGCGAAAGCGUGGGUAGCAAACAGGAUUAGAUACCCUGGUAGUCCACGCCGUAAACGAUGAUUACUAGGUGUUGGGGGGUCGAACCUCAGCGCCCAAGCUAACGCGAUAAGUAAUCCGCCUGGGGAGUACGUACGCAAGUAUGAAACUCAAAGGAAUUUGACGGGGACCCGCACAAGCGGUGGAGCAUGUGGUUUUAAUUCGACGCAACGCGAGAAACCUUACCAGCGUUUGACAUCCCAAGAAGUUAACAGAGAUGUUUUCGUGCCUCUUCGGAGGAACUUGGUGACAGGUGGUGCAUGGCUGUCGUCAGCUCGUGUCGUGAGAUGUUGGGUUAAGUCCCGCAACGAGCGCAACCCCUUUCGUAUGUUACCAUCAUUAAGUUGGGGACUCAUGCGAGACUGCCUGCGAUGAGCAGGAGGAAGGUGGGGAUGACGUCAAGUCAUCAUGCCCCUUAUACGCUGGGCUACACACGUGCUACAAUGGGUAGUACAGAGAGCUGCAAACCUGCGAGGGUAAGCUAAUCUCAUAAAACUAUUCUUAGUUCGGAUUGUACUCUGCAACUCGAGUACAUGAAGUUGGAAUCGCUAGUAAUCGCAAAUCAGCUAUGUUGCGGUGAAUACGUUCUCGGGUCUUGUACACACCGCCCGUCACACCACGAGAGUUGGUUGCACCUGAAGAACAGGCCAACCGAAGGAGGAUU
Molecule: ribosomal RNA, 1389 nt
Filed under: bacterium NLAE-zl-P291
Lineage: Bacteria
Description: bacterial SSU rRNA
Rfam family: Bacterial small subunit ribosomal RNA
Source: RNAcentral